Molecule: long non-coding RNA, 1710 nt
Filed under: Panthera leo (lion)
Lineage: Eukaryota; Metazoa; Chordata; Mammalia; Carnivora; Felidae
Description: lncRNA (ENSPLOG00000013956.1)
Source: RNAcentral
AUGAGCCCAGGGUGGGGAGCUGCACGCAGGGCGCGGUGGGGUCCCUUUCUGAAGAAAGGACGACAGAAGCACCCCGAGAGAAGCUCACACCUUUAUUCCCGCUCAGGGUGGGGAGGGGUCCCGCAGCUGGCAGACAGGGCACCUCCAGGCUGGUGGCUCUCACCUCUUGCCGGCUGCAAUGCCAACACCAAGAUGACCCGAGGGCCCCGGGUCGGCAGGCAGCCCCUCCCUCCGCUGCACCCUGCCACGGUACCUGGCAGCUUCAGCCACUUGGGCACCUUGCCCAGAUCCCUCCUGACCGGCUGGGCCGUCUCGGGGCGGGAUUCAGGGAGCCCCGCUGCCCCCGCCUCAGCCGUUGGCUCCAAGUCACGGGGUGCAGGGUCAGGGGCUGGCAUCGGGGGCGGGGCCCCAGCAGCCCUGGGCAUGCACCUGGGGGGCAGGAGGCCGAGAUGCAGGAGGGCCGAUGCGCCACAGCAGGGACUCGCCCCUCCCCGCCGCGGGCACUCACCUGGCCACCAGCAAGUCAGCCGCAGACGGGGAGACGGUGCGUUCCAGCAGCCUGGGCUCCAGGAAGAGGCCUGCGGGACACCCGGCCCACCUCAGGCCAUGGAGGGCCCCCCUCCCCCUGCUGCUGCUCUGCUCCGGGAGGGGACGCGGCCUGGGAACAGGGUACUGGGCACACAUCUCCCUCCCGGAUCUCCUCCCCGCCCACCUGUUGGUUCCUCAGCUCCAAAGUGCACGAGGGCAGCAGGGAAGAGAUCUGCCUGCAGGGAGAACAGAAGGGGGCUCGGGGCAUCAGGUGGGCACCGUGGGCAGAGGCCGCGGCGGGUGGGCAGGGCGGGCCGCAUCCACUUUCGUGGUGGCCUCUUGGGGGCUGCAUGGGAAGCUAAGCGCCACACACCGGGCCCAGGGCUCUGCCGACCAGGGCCACGCCCCGGCCAGGUCCCCACCGCAAGCGCAGUCCGCUGCCCUGUUCCCGGGAACUGCCCCCCACCCCUCCCGGCUCUACUGGGUCCCGCUGUGCCACCCCCCACCCCCAGCACGAGCCGGGCUGGCUGUGAGACCACAGGGGUCCCUCCGGGAGCCAGCCCCAACACCAGCAGGACGUUCUCACGGCACAUGCAUUCGGCAUUCCUGAUGACCCAGGAGAACAGGCCUAGAAGCCCCCCACCCUCAGCGGAGCCUGUAAGAGGCCGACGGGUCAGGGGAGAUGAAAACAGAUACACGGGACUGGUGUGGAGGAAGAGAACAGGCAGUGUUGCUCAGAGGACCCAGAGCGCGGGGGUCUGUGCAGCAGCCGGUGGGCUGCCGUCAGGGGGAGGGGGAGCCCCCAUACCCGCUGAGCGGGGGCCCCUCAGCCGGCCCAGGCCCAGGCAUGGCGAGCGGGGGCUCUGGGAGCCAAGGCGCUUUGAAAGUCCUGGGCGGGGAGGUACCGGGUCGGCUACCUUUGAGUGUCCGCCACCCAGAACCCCAAAGCUCAGGCUCGAGGUCCCUGACUCCGCACCGGGCGGCCACCUGCAAGUGACUGGUGUGGAGCCCUGGCCACAGGGAGGGCGCCGCACCGGGGCCCCCACACCCCGCCCUGGGCGUCCAGGAACUGCCUCUCCAGAGUCUCCUCCCACGCGGGGUAGUGGUGCGGGGCUCUCGCUCAGGUGCAGGACAGGGAUGGGUCACAUAGGCCCUGACGUGCUCCCUGGAGGCAGGGGCUAA